This 492-nucleotide ribosomal RNA is filed under the name uncultured bacterium. RNAcentral's name for it is "partial 16S ribosomal RNA". It matches the Rfam family "Bacterial small subunit ribosomal RNA", at positions 29 to 507 of the family's 1533-position model. The record is from RNAcentral.
AGUGAGCGCUGGCGGUAGGCCUAACACAUGCAAGUCGAACGGCAGCACAGUAAGAGCUUGCUCUUACGGGUGGCGAGUGGCGGACGGGUGAGGAAUACAUCGGAAUCUACUUUUUCGUGGGGGAUAACGUAGGGAAACUUACGCUAAUACCGCAUACGACCUACGGGUGAAAGCAGGGGAUCUUCGGACCUUGCGCGAUUGAAUGAGCCGAUGUCGGAUUAGCUAGUUGGCGGGGUAAAGGCCCACCAAGGCGACGAUCCGUAGCUGGUCUGAGAGGAUGAUCAGCCACACUGGAACUGAGACACGGACCAGACUCCUACGGGAGGCAGCAGUGGGGAAUAUUGGACAAUGGGCGCAAGCCUGAUCCAGCCAUACCGCGUGGGUGAAGAAGGCCUUCGGGUUGUAAAGCCCUUUUGUUGGGAAAGAAAAGCAGCAGGUUAAUACCCCGCUGUUCUGACGGUACCCAAAGAAUAAGCACCGGCUAACUUCGUG